This 468-nucleotide ribosomal RNA is filed under the name uncultured bacterium. RNAcentral describes it as "partial 16S ribosomal RNA". It matches the Rfam family "Bacterial small subunit ribosomal RNA", at positions 28 to 507 of the family's 1533-position model. The record is from RNAcentral.
GACGAACGCUGGCGGCGUGCUUAACACAUGCAAGUCGAACGGAAAGGCCCUGCUUUUGUGGGGUGCUCGAGUGGCGAACGGGUGAGUAACACGUGAGUAACCUGCCCUUGACUUUGGGAUAACUUCAGGAAACUGGGGCUAAUACCGGAUAGGAGCUCCUGCUGCAUGGUGGGGGUUGGAAAGUUUCGGCGGUUGGGGAUGGACUCGCGGCUUAUCAGCUUGUUGGUGGGGUAGUGGCUUACCAAGGCUUUGACGGGUAGCCGGCCUGAGAGGGUGACCGGCGACAAUGGGACUGAGAUACGGCCCAGACUCCUACGGGAGGCAGCAGUGGGGAAUAUUGCAGAAUAGGCGGAAGCCUGAUGCAACAACGCCGCGUGCGGGAUGACGGCCUUCGGGUUGUAAACCGCUUUCGCCUGUGACGAAGCGUGAGUGACGGUAAUGGGUAAAGAAGCACCGGCUAACUACGUG